UCUUACCUACGGGGGGCAGCAGUAGGGAAUCUUCCACAAUGGGCGCAAGCCUGAUGGAGCAACACCGCGUGAGUGAAGAAGGGUUUCGGCUCGUAAAGCUCUGUUGUUGGAGAAGAACGUGCGUGAGAGUAACUGCUCACGCAGUGACGGUAUCCAACCAGAAAGCCACGGCUAACUACGUGCCAGCAGCCGCGGGAAUACGUAGGUGGCAAGCGUUAUCCGGAUUUAUUGGGCGUAAAGAGAACGCAGGCGGUCUUUUAAGUCUGAUUUGAAAGCCUUCGGCUUAAACGGGGU
This 294-nucleotide ribosomal RNA is filed under the name uncultured bacterium. RNAcentral's name for it is "partial 16S ribosomal RNA". It matches the Rfam family "Bacterial small subunit ribosomal RNA", at positions 333 to 619 of the family's 1533-position model. The record is from RNAcentral.